GCGGCCGCGAGCGGGUGGGACCGGAGGCGGCGGGAGUCGCGGCUGCUGUCCGUGCACCUGAGAGCCGACGCCCAGGUCUUCGAAGCUGCACCCGCAGCAGUCCCCGUCGCCAUGAGCCGCUUCAAGGUGUCCAAGUUCCGACACACGGAGGCCCGGCCGUCCCGCCGCGAGGCCUGGAUCAGUGACAUUCGAGCAGGAACCACACCCUCAUGUGGGAACCAUAUCAAAUCCAGCUGCCACUUGAUUGCAUUUAACUCUGACCGUCCAGGUGUGCUGGGCAUCGUGCCUCUGGAAGGCCAAGGAGAGGACAAGAGACAGGUGACCUACCUUGGCUGCCAUUCAGACCUGGUCACGGACUUGGACUUCUCUCCCUUUGAUGACUUCCUCCUGGCCACGGGCUCAGCUGACAGGAUGGUGAAGCUGUGGCGCCUGCCCGCCCCUGGCCAGGUGCUACCCUCGGUGCCCGGGCUGGUGCUGGGCCCAGAGCCUGUCCAGGUAGAGGUGCUGCAGUUCCAUCCCACCACGGACGGUGUCCUGGCGAGCGCAGCGGGCAUGGCCGUGAAGGUCUGGGAUGUAGCCAAGCAGCAGGCCCUCACAGAGCUGGCGGCCCACGGGGACCUGGUGCUGGGUGCCGUCUGGAGCCGGGACGGAGCCCUGGUGGGCACGAUGUGCAAGGACAAGCAGCUGCGGAUCUUCGACCCCAGAGCAAAGCCAGGGGCCUCCCAGAGCACAGAGGCCCACAAGAACAGCAAGGAUGGUCGGCUGGUGUGGACGGGCACCCAGGAGCACCUUGUGUCCACUGGAUUCAACCAGAUGCGUGAGCGGGAAGUGAAGCUGUGGGACACCCGGCACUUCUCCAGCGCCCUCACCUCCCUCAGCCUGGACACCUCACCCGGGUCUCUGCUGCCCCUGCUGGACCCAGACUCCGGGCUCCUGAUCCUGGCAGGAAAGGGGGAGAGUCAGUUGUACUGCUACGAGGUGGCCCCCCAGCAGCUCACACUGAGCCAAGUGACCCAGUGCCUCCUGGAGAGCGUGCUGCGCGGGGUGGCUCUCGUGCCCCGGCGGGCGCUGGCCGUCAUGGGCUGCGAGGUGCUCCGCGUCCUGCAGUUGAGCGAUGCGGCCAUCGUGCCUGUCAGCUACCAUGUGCCUCGCAAGGCUGUGGAGUUCCAUGAGGACCUGUUCCCAGACACGGCAGGCUGCGUGCCUGUCUCCGACCCCCAUGCCUGGUGGGCUGGGAGCAACCAGCAGGUGCAGAAGGUUAGCCUCCACCCAGCUCACCGGCCCUACCCCAGCUUCACUUCCUGCCUGGUGCCCCCCGCGGAGCCCUCCCCCGAUGCAGCCCCGCCAGCAGCAGCCCCGCCUGCAGAGACGCCUGUGGGUGAUGCGGACCCCAGCGAGGGCUUCUCCUCCCCUCUCAGCUCGCUGACCUCGCCCUCCACGCCCUCCAGCCUGGGGCCCUCCCUCUCUAGCACCAGUGGCAUCAGCACCAGCCCCAGCCAGAGGUCCCUACAGAGCCUGCUGGGCCCCAGUUCCAAGUUCCGCCAUGCUCAGGGCGCCGUCCUGCACCGAGACAACCACAUCACCAACCUCAAGGGACUCAACCUCACCACGCCUGGCGAGAGUGACGGAUUCUGUGCCAACCAGCUACGCGUGGCCGUGCCCUUGCUCAGCAAUGGUGGGCAGGUGGCUGUGCUUGAGCUACAGAAGCCUGGCCGCCUGCCCGACACAGCACUGCCCACGCUGCAGAAUGGGGCAGCUGUGACGGAUCUGGCUUGGGACCCCUUUGACCCCUACCGCCUUGCUGUUGGUGGGGAGGAUGCCAGGAUCCGACUGUGGCGGGUGCCCCCAGAGGGCCUGCAGGAGGUGCUCACAACACCUGAGGCUGUGCUCACAGGCCACACAGAGAAGAUCUACUCUCUGCGCUUCCACCCACUGGCAGCCGACGUGCUGGCCUCCUCUUCCUAUGACCUUACCAUUCGGAUCUGGGACCUUCAGGCCAGAGCCGAGCGGCUGAGGCUGCAGGGCCACCGGGACCAGAUCUUCAGCCUGGCUUGGAGUCCUGAUGGACGGCAUCUGGCCACUGUCUGCAGGGAUGGGUACUUGCGGGUCUAUGAGCCCCGGGAUGGCCCUGAGCCCCUGCAGGAAGGCCCAGGGCCUGAGGGGGCCCGUGGAGCCCGUGUUGUCUGGGUCUGUGAUGGUCACUGUCUGCUGGUGUCUGGUUUUGACAGCCGAAGUGAGCGUCAGCUACUCCUAUACCCCACCGAGGCCCUGGCCGGUGGUCCUUUGGCAGUGCUGGGGCUGGACGUGGCUCCCUCGACCCUGCUUCCCAGCUAUGACCCAGACACCAGCCUGGUGCUACUCACGGGCAAGGGUGACACCCGCGUGUUCCUGUACGAGCUGCUCCCUGAGGCUCCUUUCUUCCUAGAGUGCAAUAGCUUCACGUCCCCGGAUCCCCACAAGGGCUUCAUCCUCUUGCCCAAGACAGAGUGUGACGUGCGGGAAGUAGAGUUUGCCCGAUGCCUACGGCUUCGCCAGACCUCCCUGGAGCCUGUCGCCUUCCGGCUACCCCGAGUCAGGAAAGAGUUCUUCCAGGAUGAUGUUUUCCCAGACACAGCCUUGAGCUGGGAGCCGGUGCUCAGUGCCAGCGCCUGGCUGGGAGGUGCUAAUGGGCAGCCCCGGCUUAUCAGCCUGCAGCCUGCCGGCAUGACCCCAGUAAGCCAGGCCCCCCGUGAAGCCCCUGCCCGACGGGUCCCACCCUCAGCACUCUACCUGGAAGAGAAGUCAGACCAGCAAAAGAAGGAGGAGCUGCUAAAUGCCAUGGUGGCCAAGCUGGGGAACCGGGAGGACCCGCUCCCCCAGGACUCCUUUGAAGGUGUGGACGAGGACGAGUGGACCUCUCAUCCCCCUCGGUUUAUCUCCCCAGGACUAGCCUGCCCACCACUACCUCUAGCCUCACCGGCCGCUGCCACCUCCUAGAACCACCUGGUGUGGUGCCCCCUGCACACCUCACUUCUCACCCUCAAACUGGAAGAUGCCUCCUGGUCCUGGCACACCUUAUCCCAAAAGCCCUGGCUUCCUCUGGGCCUUGGGCACUUCUGUGGCCUCUGGGCCCCGCUGCAACUCCUGUGGAUUGUCUGCACCUCUGCUUUCUGUGGGACUGGCUGCUUCUCCGCUGCCUGCUAGCAUGUGGAACCAGGGGCGUGGCGGUGGGGUGGGGUGGGGUGGGAGUGGGGUCAGUAGCACGCCCCUGGGCUAGUCCCAGCCUGGGCUGGCUUCGCCCAGCACCUUCAGUUGUUACACGCCAUCCCAUCUUGCCUGCUGGCCCACUUCCAGUCAAGAGCCUUGGGGGCUGGCCCCCUGCCAGGCCAUCUGGAGCAGCGUCAGCCUCAGGGGCCAGGGACCAGCUGCCCUCCUCCUCAGGUCUGAAACCAGUAGAAGGGGGCGGUACAGAGCUGAUGGCCCAAUCAAGGGGGGUGUGAACCCCUCAGGGACUGGCCUGCAUAUACCCUGAUGUUUUCAGCAAUUAAACUUUUCUAAGCUGGCCACCUCUUGUGCUGCUAUGGUCUUUUGGCUGACUGGAAGGGGAAGGGGACAGGAGGAUGGGUGAGGGCAUUUUGGCUCUGGUUCCCCCUUGUCCCAGGUCUCACUUCACUCCUGAGUCCUCUUCAGCUGCUAUGAGUUCAUUCAUUCAUCCAGCACAGAGACAGUGCUCUGGAUGGUAGACACAGUAAUGAACAGGAGAGACAAGGCCUCUUGAGGCACUUGUUAUAGUCUUCCUGUGCCGGGGAGCCAGACCGUGUGCAAGUAAGCAAACCGUGAAGAAAGCUGUAAAGAAGACAAAAUAGGGGCACCUGUCUUGUUCAGCUGGUAGCGCAUGCAACUCUUGAUCUCAGGGUAGUAAGUUCAGCAUGCCCCAUGUUGGGCAUAGAGAUUACUUAAUUACACUUGAUCUUAGCCAAAAGGCCGAGAAGCGAUGAGAUUACUUAAUUAAAAAAAGAUGACAAAUUAUGUGAAAAGGGAGCAGCUGAGAUGCAGGGAGAGCAGGGUGUUUAGUCUGAGGGGCGACCUUUAAGAUGAGAGCUGAGACCUGAAGGCCACAGAGCCGCAAGAAGAACAUUUCAGACAAAAGGAAGGGCGGCCACUGCACUGAGGGAAGAAAGAAUUUGGAGUGUUGGAGGAAAGGGCAGUGGUCCAAAACAUAGUCCAAGGCAGCCUGACUUAACAUUCACUCAGCAAUCACAUGUCGAGUAUCUUCCCUGUGCCAGCCACCUGUCCAAGAGUGGAGAAAAAAGCAAAGUCCUGUCCACCAGGAAUCCACAUUCUAGUGGAAAGGAACAGGUUAUAAACAAUGAACAUAAAAUAAAUGAAUUAAAAUAAUAUGGCAGAAGGUGAUAAGAACUCUGGGGGGAAGAAAUAGAAGGGACUGAGAGCCAGACAUACAAAAAAGCCACAUACAGUACAAUUCCACUUUCAUGAGCUGUUCGGAACAGACUAAUCCAGGGGCGCCUGGAUGGCUCCGUCGGUUAAGCGGCUGCCUUCGACUCAGGUCAUGAUCCCAGGGUCCUGGGAUCAAGUCCUGCAUCAGGCUUUUUGCUCAUUGGGGAGCGUGCUUCUCCCUCUCCCUCUGCCGUUCCUUCCCCUCACUUGUGCUCUCUGGCUCUCUGUCAAAUAAAUAAAUAAAAUCUAAAAAAAAAAAAGGAACAGACAAAAGCUUAGUGGUCACCAGGAGCUGGGGGAGGGGCAGUGAUUGUUAAUGGGUAGGGAGGUUUUUGGGGGGUUGAUGAAAAUGUUCUGGUGUUCUAGUGGUGAUGGUUGCACAACUCUGUAAAUACACUAAACACUGAAUUGUGCACUUUAAGAUAGUGAACUUUAUCUCAAAGCUGUUACUAAAACAAAAGAAUACAGGGCAAGUUGCAGCAUUGGUAGGAGAGCAGGGUGGGCCUCAUUGAGAAGGUGAUACUUGAGCAAGAACUUGGAGGAGAGUGUGAGAUCUUCCCAGGCAGAAGGAACCUAGAAGGAAACCCGUUUUGAGGUUUCCUGUUUUCUUACAUAUUUUUGAGACUUUGGCAUCCUACUCAUGUUCGUGGGGUGUUGUAGGUUUAUUACAUAUCUUUUAGUACCAAAUAUUUUGGCAAAAUGAAGGGAAGAAAUUGCCCCGCAUUUGACAGAUGCAUUUAUUCUGUUGCAUCUAGCGCAGCAGGACAAACGUGAGGGACACCUUGGGUCCUGUCGACCAGAGGCCGACUCCGCCUCUGACCCCGCCCACUGAUUACAUCACGACACCCCGCCCCCUGGAGGGAACAGUGCGCAUGCCUAGCGCGGCGUCACGCACGCGCUCUCUCCCUUGACCUCUGACCCGCCGGCCGCCCUUUAGUUGGAGCGGCGGGGCCAGGAAGCCGGAGCCCGCGACCCCGGGGCGGAGCGGCCACCAUGCCAGCCGGGCAGCAGCUGAUGCUCGAGGACGUGCUGGACACCAGUCUGCAGCUGCCUCCAACCUGU
Mirounga angustirostris (Northern elephant seal) is the source of this 5499-nucleotide RNA transcript. It is a transcript of the gene named coronin 7, with no coding region annotated. NCBI's taxonomy places the organism in Eukaryota, Metazoa, Chordata, Mammalia, Carnivora, Phocidae. The record is from RefSeq and is a predicted model, not a curated record. The transcript is spliced from 29 exons.